RNAcentral lists this long non-coding RNA (441 nucleotides) under Phoenix dactylifera (date palm). RNAcentral describes it as "long non-coding RNA (PDAC_LNC010572)". The record is from RNAcentral. Lineage: Eukaryota; Viridiplantae; Streptophyta; Magnoliopsida; Arecales; Arecaceae.
AUGUGAUGGGGCGAGGUCAUUGUACGGCUCGGCAUGUUGCUCAGAUCGGCGCACGACCAGGUGAAUCAUUGCAUUGAUGUCAGAGGUGAGGUCGUCGUACGACCCGAAAUAGCACGCGAUCGGGCGAAUCAUUGCAUUGAUGUCGGAGGUAUGGCCGAGAUCAGAGACUUAUCAUCGUUGAUUGGACUCUGCUGGGCUGACUUGCCGUGGAGAGUUGCGGGUCCGUAGAUAACAGGAGCCACGCGCAUUAAUGGUGGAGUAAGCCGGAGAUCCGCAUUAAUUAUGGAGUAAGCCGGAGAUCCGCAUUAAUUGUGGAGUAAGUCGGAGAUCCUCAUUAAUUGUGGAGUAAGCCGGAGAUCCUCAUUAAUUGUUGAGUAAACUGGGGGUUUGCAGGGGUCAUGCGCAAUAAAUGCCGGGGCAGUGGCAGGGUAUGGCUCUCGG